This 1059-nucleotide ribosomal RNA is filed under the name Triticum aestivum (bread wheat). RNAcentral's name for it is "partial small subunit ribosomal RNA". Lineage: Eukaryota; Viridiplantae; Streptophyta; Magnoliopsida; Poales; Poaceae. The record is from RNAcentral.
AUGGGAGCGAACGCCCAUGAGGCGUCGGGCUUGGGUUCCGCGACAGAGAUAGAAAAGAUGAUGGCUGAGUUAGGUCUCAGAGAGGAGGAUCUCGAUGAUGUUGUUUUCGAUGAGAAAGCAGCGCCACCAGAGGCUACCAGGUGGAUGGCUGUGGCUAGGGUUCACAUAGAUAAACCAUACAGCCAAUAUUGGUUCUUCAGGAACAUGAGGUCAGCCUGGGACCUCACGCAUGAUGUAAAGUUCCGUCCCCUCGAUGAUAAUCUCUACAUGAUGCAAUUCUUCUGCUUGGGAGAUUGGGAACGGGUCAUGCAGGAGGGGCCAUGGAAUUUCAGAGGAAACGCAGUGGUCAUUGAGCCUUAUGAUGGAAUCACUAAGCCAACGGAGGUGAAUCUAGACCAUCUCAACAUAUGGAUUCAGAUCCAUGACGUCCCAGAUUUGUAUGCUCAUCUAGUGGGACCUCUUGCGGCUAAAGUGGGAGAGGUUUUGUUUACGGAAACAAUGACUCAGGACUUUGCGGGUAACUUCUACCGCGUCUGGGUUAGGAUCAUUGUCAACAGGCCUCUCAAGAAUGCGGUUUCCAUGAUCCGUGAUGGGCAUGUCUUCAAGGAGCAUGGUGACGGGAUUCAUCCUCCAUCAUCCCUAUACUUCAAGGAUCUGAGGGCAACAUGGAAUAUGCGAGUUGGUGCUGGCCCUGGAGCUGGCCAGGGCAAGGGGCGACAAGGAGGCCGUCGUGGUGGCCGGGGAGGACGCAGUAUGGACCCUAUGAGCAUGGGACAGAAACACUCAGAGCAAGAAUCAGAUGGUGACAUGGAUGCGGUGAUGAAAGAAGCAGAUGGGAACAGGAAGCGCAUGCUAGAUGACCUGGGUGUGAUCAGCCAAAAGACAGCCCCGCCUGCGGCCAACAGUGCCCUAGCCAUGCCACUGACGAUGGUGCCGGCAAGUCCCUCAUCCAAGCAGCAGCAGAAAAGGCUCCGAGCAAACCAAGAUAAGAACAACUUGAAGAAGAGUGGUGCCCCGGAAAAAACAAAUGACACAAAAUCGGCGACCUCCCGUAGCUGA